RNAcentral lists this long non-coding RNA (530 nucleotides) under Xyrichtys novacula (pearly razorfish). The record is from RNAcentral. Lineage: Eukaryota; Metazoa; Chordata; Actinopteri; Labriformes; Labridae.
CAUUAGUCCUGAUGGUCUCAGGUCUCAUUGGUCCUGAUGGUCUCAGGUCUCAGUGGUCCUGAUGGUCUCAGGUCUCAGUAGUCCUGAUGGUCUCAGGUCUCAUUGGUCCUGAUGGUCUCAGGUCUCAGUCGUCCUGAUGGUCUCAGGUUUCAGUAGUCCUGAUGGUCUCAGGUCUCAUUGGUCCUGAUGGUCUCAGGUCUCAGUAGUCCUGAUGGUCUCAGGUCUCAUUGGUCCUGAUGGUCUCAGGUCUCAGUAGUCCUGAUGGUCUCAGGUCUCAUUAGUCCUGAUGGUCUCAGGUCUCAGUGGUCCUGAUGGUCUCAGGUCUCAUUGGUCCUGAUGGUCUCAGGUCUCAGUAGUCCUGAUGGUCUCAGGUCUCAUUAGUCCUGAUGGUCUCAGGUCUCAGUAGUCCUGAUGGUCUCUGAUCCUGGACUCUGUUAACCCCUUAUUUCCAGGUUGGGGGUGUUACAGCUUUGGAGACGGACUGAACCAACCUGGACCAGAGAGGAGGACAGAGACCAGCAGGUUUACAG